RNAcentral lists this long non-coding RNA (904 nucleotides) under Homo sapiens (human). RNAcentral's name for it is "non-protein coding lnc-TMEM232-5:1". Lineage: Eukaryota; Metazoa; Chordata; Mammalia; Primates; Hominidae. The record is from RNAcentral.
UCACGCCCACAGACGGAGAUGGGUGUUGUGAGUGGUGGUGGGCUACACAGACUGUGUGGUGUGAGCUUUUUGCUGGGAGGAGCUAGGUGAGGGUCCUGAACAUCUGACUGGGCAGCUGGUGUCCCUCAAGAAGUGGUUGCUGGAGGGUCAGGUGGACAGCCUCUCAGUGACUCUGGGGCCGCUGGGUGUUCCUGAACUGAUGGUGUCUUAGCCAGGCUGUGCUUAUGCAAUUCUAACGUGUAUGUGGAAAAAGGACACAGGGUCCCCUCCUGCCUCUGAAGGGGUCAUGGAUGGCAGUAGGGAGACCCUAGCUGCCCGAGAUGUGGUACUGCACCAGACAUCUGGCCAUAUCCACAACAAGAAUAUCUCCACUCACCUAACUGGCAACAACAAACAAGGCCAUGGCACUGAGAGUAGUGGCUCUGGCAUCUUUGCCGUGAGCACACUGGAUGGGAUGCUGAAGCUCAUGGAGGAAGCAGACAAGCUGUUGUGGUCAGCGCAGGUGGAUCACCAGCUCUUCGCCCUGGAGAAAUUGGGAUGUCAACGGCAAUGGGCAUGAGGAGGUAGUUCCAUGUGCCUGCGAUGGACAGACAUAUAUUAUUGAUCACAAUCACACCGUCGUCCGCUUCUAAGUGGAUGAAAAUAUCCGUGCCUUCUAUGCAGGCCUGUAUGCCUGCCCAGGGAUGCAACAGCUCCUGCCUCGUAUAUGUCACUUUCAACCAGAAGAUCUAUGUGUACUGGGAGGUGCAGUUGGAGUGGAUGGAGUCUACCAAUCUGCUGAAUGACUGGAGACCAAGCCUGAGUACCAUAGCCUGCUGCAGGAGCUGGGCAUGGAUCCUGACAACCUCCCUGUGGCUCAUGCCCUGCUUCACCAAACACUCUACCAUCCGACCAACCACCACAG